AGAUAUUAGUAAAACAAUUACAUAACUUUGUCAAAGUUAACUUACAGGCUGAACCCCGUAUAUCUUA
Molecule: transfer RNA, 67 nt
Filed under: Lepilemur hollandorum
Lineage: Eukaryota; Metazoa; Chordata; Mammalia; Primates; Lepilemuridae
Description: tRNA-Asp
Source: RNAcentral